AUUGAACGCUGGCGGCAUGCCUUACACAUGCAAGUCGAACGGCAGCACGGGAGCAAUCCUGGUGGCGAGUGGCGAACGGGUGAGUAAUAUAUCGGAACGUGCCCAGUCGUGGGGGAUAACGUAGCGAAAGCUACGCUAAUACCGCAUACGAUCUAUGGAUGAAAGCGGGGGAUCGCAAGACCUCGCGCGAUUGGAGCGGCCGAUAUCAGAUUAGGUAGUUGGUGAGGUAAAGGCUCACCAAGCCGACGAUCUGUAGCUGGUCUGAGAGGACGACCAGCCACACUGGGACUGAGACACGGCCCAGACUCCUACGGGAGGCAGCAGUGGGGAAUUUUGGGACAAUGGGCGCAAGCCUGAUCCAGCAAUGCCGCGUGCAGGAUGAAGGCCUUGGUUGUAACUAGCUUUGUA
This 408-nucleotide ribosomal RNA is filed under the name uncultured bacterium. RNAcentral describes it as "bacterial SSU rRNA". It matches the Rfam family "Bacterial small subunit ribosomal RNA", at positions 30 to 439 of the family's 1533-position model. The record is from RNAcentral.